RNAcentral lists this transfer RNA (76 nucleotides) under Streptomyces formicae. RNAcentral's name for it is "tRNA-Leu". It matches the Rfam family "tRNA". From Rfam's summary of the family: Transfer RNA (tRNA) molecules are approximately 80 nucleotides in length. Their secondary structure includes four short double-helical elements and three loops (D, anti-codon, and T loops). Further hydrogen bonds mediate the characteristic L-shaped molecular structure. tRNAs have two regions of fundamental functional importance: the anti-codon, which is responsible for specific mRNA codon recognition, and the 3' end, to which the tRNAs corresponding amino acid is attached (by aminoacyl-tRNA synthetases). tRNAs cope with the degeneracy of the genetic code in two manners: having more than one tRNA (with a specific anti-codon) for a particular amino acid; and 'wobble' base-pairing, i.e. permitting non-standard base-pairing at the 3rd anti-codon position. The record is from RNAcentral. Lineage: Bacteria; Bacillati; Actinomycetota; Actinomycetes; Kitasatosporales; Streptomycetaceae.
GCGCCCGUGCGCCAACGGCUGAGCGGCGUCGUUUAGGUCGACGUGUUUGUCGGUUCGAAUCCGACCGGGCGUACCG